RNAcentral lists this ribosomal RNA (406 nucleotides) under Pseudomonas aeruginosa. RNAcentral's name for it is "bacterial SSU rRNA". It matches the Rfam family "Bacterial small subunit ribosomal RNA", at positions 944 to 1350 of the family's 1533-position model. The record is from RNAcentral. Lineage: Bacteria; Pseudomonadati; Pseudomonadota; Gammaproteobacteria; Pseudomonadales; Pseudomonadaceae.
GUUUAAUUCGAUGCAACGCGAAGAACCUUACCUGGUCUUGACAUCCACAGAACUUUCCAGAGAUGGAUUGGUGCCUUCGGGAACUGUGAGACAGGUGCUGCAUGGCUGUCGUCAGCUCGUGUUGUGAAAUGUUGGGUUAAGUCCCGCAACGAGCGCAACCCUUAUCCUUUGUUGCCAGCGGUUAGGCCGGGAACUCAAAGGAGACUGCCAGUGAUAAACUGGAGGAAGGUGGGGAUGACGUCAAGUCAUCAUGGCCCUUACGACCAGGGCUACACACGUGCUACAAUGGCAUAUACAAAGAGAAGCGACCUCGCGAGAGCAAGCGGACCUCAUAAAGUAUGUCGUAGUCCGGAUUGGAGUCUGCAACUCGACUCCAUGAAGUCGGAAUCGCUAGUAAUCGUAGAUC